CCCCCCAGGGCGCGACGGAGAAGGAGGGCCUGGGUUCCGCAGCAUUCGAUUUUGAUUAGCUCCGCUACUUGAUUGAAACCCGGAGGGUCCAAUGCGAGCGAGCGCGUGGCCUCCGGGCACCCAAUGGGAGCGCCGGGGCGGUCUGAGGCGCUGGGUUGAAACGUGCGCGAGGAAGCGCGUGAGCGGCCGCAGCUGAGGAGGCGGGCUUGAGAGUGAGGUGGGUGGCGUGAGAGGGAGGCGGCCGCCUCUGAGGGGACCGGGGCGGGUGUGGGUGUCGCGGUCUAGGGUUCCUGUGGGGAAGAGGAAGGUCCCUACCCCACCCCGACCAGGAGGGCGCCGGCGAGGGGGUGGCGCGCAACACGUGCCUGUGUGAGGGAAGGACUCUCCCCCCUCGCUGCCCUGCUCACUUUCCUCACGAGCGCCUUCAUUUCCCUCCCCCAACCGGACUCACAACAGACCUGUGAGGUAGGCCAGGCUGAGAAAGAGGGUGGCUGGCCGCCGACUCUCAACCCCCACCCCUCAGUUUAGCCUCACAACAGACGUGACAUAGGUAGGCCAGACUGAGGAAAAAACAUUAAAAACGGUCACUGUACAGUUUUGCGUGAAUUACGUUUAGGUAUUGCCC
Non-coding RNA from Podarcis lilfordi (Lilford's wall lizard), 625 nucleotides. Lineage: Eukaryota; Metazoa; Chordata; Lepidosauria; Squamata; Lacertidae. The record is from the annotation of a GenBank genome assembly.